Molecule: ribosomal RNA, 557 nt
Filed under: uncultured bacterium
Lineage: Bacteria
Description: bacterial SSU rRNA
Rfam family: Bacterial small subunit ribosomal RNA
Source: RNAcentral
AACGCGUGGGAAUCUGCCCUUGGGUACGGAAUAACUCAGAGAAAUUUGUGCUAAUACCGUAUAAUGUCUUCGGACCAAAGAUUUAUCGCCCAAGGAUGAGCCCGCGUAAGAUUAGCUAGUUGGUGGGGUAAAGGCCUACCAAGGCUACGAUCUUUAGCUGGUCUGAGAGGAUGAUCAGCCACACUGGGACUGAGACACGGCCCAGACUCCUACGGGAGGCAGCAGUGGGGAAUAUUGGACAAUGGGCGAGAGCCUGAUCCAGCAAUGCCGCGUGAGUGAUGAAGGCCUUAGGGUUGUAAAGCUCUUUUACCAGGGAUGAUAAUGACAGUACCUGGAGAAUAAGCUCCGGCUAACUCCGUGCCAGCAGCCGCGGUAAUACGGAGGGAGCUAGCGUUGUUCGGAAUUACUGGGCGUAAAGCGCGCGUAGGCGGUUUUUUAAGUCAGAGGUGAAAGCCCAGUGCUCAACACUGGAACUGCCUUUGAAACUGGAAAACUUGAAUCUUGGAGAGGUCAGUGGAAUUCCGAGUGUAGAGGUGAAAUUCGUAGAUAUUCGGAAG